AGCCCGCUUCUCAUCACGUCUCCUUGGCAACAGGAGACCCGUGUCAGUUCAUCUCUGUUUUCUGUGGGGGUUGUUUUUAUUUUUUUUAUGUUUCUAUUGUGAUAAAGUGCUUAGUUGAUCACUCAGUAGGUCUCCGCUUAACUAGCAAUCGUCAGAACAACAACUGCAGGUUACGGACAACGUUUGGUCGAUAUCUCUCUUUUUCUCUCUAUUCAUUCAAAUGUAAUUAACGCAAUGCAAAAAACGCAUUUAACGAAGUUAAAAUCAAGCAUUCCGGAGAAGAAACAAAAAAAAUGUCUUAAAACAAUAUUUACAACGAACGGCGUGUGUCCUCAUUAUAUCCUCAUGAUGUCUAUUGCUGCCAUAUAGAAUUGAUGUCUAAAUAUUUCUACACGUCAGUCAGCAGCUUGCCCUUAUUCACACAGUUCUGGUUGAGGACAGUAGUACAGUUAGAAGUUCUGAGAUUCGCGUCCCUGAAGUUAUCAAUACUAUUGUUGAUUCCCUCGUCUAUCUCCAUGUAUUCUGACUUGCUGGCGAUAGAGUUGGAGCUGCGACGCGACGAGUUGCUGUCUGAGUUCAGGUCCUGGUUGCUGACGUUAAGAAGCUGCGCUUGCUCUUCUCCCUCCGUCUCCCGGUGAUAGAAAUAGUUAAAAUUGGACACGAUCACGGGCACCGGUAACGCGAUGGUCAACACUCCGGCGAUGGCACAGAGCGAACCCACUAUCUUUCCACCGAUGGUCACCGGGUACAUGUCCCCGUAGCCCACCGUCGUCAUGGAGACCACGGCCCACCAGAAGGCGUCGGGGAUGCUCGUGAAGAAAGAUUCCUUCUCUUCCGCUUCGGCGAAAUAGACAGCGCUGGAGAAGAGGAUGACUCCGAUGAAGAGGAAGAAAAUGAGCAGACCCAAUUCUCUCAUACUUGCUUUGAGUGUUUGUCCUAAUAUCUGAAGCCCCUUGGAGUGUCUGGACAACUUGAAGAUCCUAAACACCCGGACCAGUCGGAUAACCCUGAGGAUGGCCAGAGACGCAGCUUGUUCGCUUGGUUUCUCCUUCCCUUCCUGGUCCUCCGCCAGCUCGGUACCCAGCGUGAUGAAGUAGGGUAUGAUAGCUACUAUGUCUAUAGUAUUCAUCAUGUUUUUAAAGAAAGCUGCCUUACUAGGACAGGCGAAGAACCGUACUAUCAACUCGAAGGAGAACCAGAUAAUACACAGUGUCUCCACUAUAAAGAAAGGAUCUGU
RNAcentral lists this long non-coding RNA (1237 nucleotides) under Salmo salar (Atlantic salmon). RNAcentral's name for it is "lncRNA (ENSSSAG00000112893.1)". Lineage: Eukaryota; Metazoa; Chordata; Actinopteri; Salmoniformes; Salmonidae. The record is from RNAcentral.